CUGCAUAAUUGUGGUAGUAACAGAGGGUUCGGAUCCCGGCUCAGAUUGAACGCUGGCGGGAUGCUUUACACAUGCAAGUCGAAUGGCAGCACGGACUUCGGUCUGGUGGCGAGUGGCGAACGGGUGAGUAGUCGUAUCGGAACGUGCCUAGUAGCGGGGGAUAAUCACGCUGGUGCUGCAGCUAAUAUAUCGCAUAGCCCUUCGGGGGAAAGCGGGGACCUUCGGGCCUCGCACUAUUAGGAGCGCCGAUAUCGGAUUAGCUAGUUGCGGGCAACGGCUCACUACAGCGACGAUCCGUAGCUGGUUUGAGAGGACGACCAGCCACACUGGGACUGGAGAUAUGGCCCAGACUCUACGGAGGCAAGCAGGGGGAAUUUUGGACAAUGGGGAAACCCUGAUCCAGCCAUCCCGCGCAGUGAUGAAGGCCUUCGGGUUGUGGAAGCACUUUUGGCAGGAAAGAAAUCGGCACGGGAUAAUACCCCGUGCAACUGACGGUACCUGCAGAAUAAGCAAUCAUAACCACGUCACAGCCCAAUACGUAGGGUAAAGCGUUAAUCGGAAUUACUGGGCAAAGCGUGCGCAGGCGGUUCGGAAAGAAAGAUGAAAUCCUUGCAGUUUAACUUCUUGAAUCCGCAUUUUCAACUACCGAGCUAGGAGUGGUCGAGGGAGGUGGGAAUUCCGCGUGUAGCAGUGAAAUGCGUAGAUAUGCGGAGGAACACCGAUGGCGUAAUGUUCUGGGAUAGCACCGACGCUCAUGCACGAAAGCGUGGGGAGCAAACAGGAUUAGAUACCCUGAGUAGUCCACGCCCUAAACGAUGUCAACUAGCUGUUAGCCUUGGCCUGUAGCAGCUAACGCGUGAAGUUGACCAAUUGGGAGUACGGUCGCAAGAUUAAACUCAAAGGAAUUGACGGGGACCCGCACAAGCGGUGGAUGAUGUGGAUUAAUUCGAUGCAAACGAAAACCUUACCUACCCUUGACAUUGUUCGGAAUUCCGAAGAGAUUUGGGAGUGCUCGCAAGAGAACCGAACACAGGUGCUGGUACGGCUGUCGUCAGCUCGUGUCGUGAGAUGUUGGGUUAAGUCCCGCAACGAGCGCAACUCCUUGUCAUUAGUUACGCCGAAAGGGCACUCCAAUGAGACUGCCGGUGAUAAAACCGAGGAAGGUGGGGAUGACGUCAAGUCCUCAUGGCCCUUGCGGUAGGGCUUCACACGUCAUACAACACCGGGACAGACAUCGCCAACCCGCGAGGGGGAGCCAAUCCCAGAAACCUGAUCGUAGUCCGGAUCGCAGUCUGCAACUCGACUGCGUGAAGUCGGAAUCGCUAGUAAUCGCGGGAUCAGCAUGUCGCGGUGAAUACGUUCCCGGGUCUUGUACAUACACUGCCUGUCACACCAUGGGAGUGUGGUUUACCAGAAGUAGUUAGCCUAACCGUAAGGAGGGCGAUUAAUAAUGGUAGGAUUCAUGACUGGGGUGAAGUCGUAACGAAGGCAA
Molecule: ribosomal RNA, 1492 nt
Filed under: uncultured Bordetella sp.
Lineage: Bacteria; Pseudomonadati; Pseudomonadota; Betaproteobacteria; Burkholderiales; Alcaligenaceae
Description: partial 16S-23S ribosomal RNA intergenic spacer
Rfam family: Bacterial small subunit ribosomal RNA
Source: RNAcentral